This 483-nucleotide ribosomal RNA is filed under the name Triticum aestivum (bread wheat). Its description in RNAcentral is "partial small subunit ribosomal RNA". The record is from RNAcentral. Lineage: Eukaryota; Viridiplantae; Streptophyta; Magnoliopsida; Poales; Poaceae.
AUGCUGCUAGGCAUUCUGGUGGCGAGCAUAGCCUACCAGGCCGGGCUGAAACCGCCUGGCGGGGCGUGGCAGAGCAACGACAACGGGUAUGAGGCGGGCAACCCAGUGAUGCACGACAAGAGAAGUCCCCGGUACCUCACCUUCUUUUACAGCAACUCCAUUUCCUUCAUGGCCUCCAUAGUUGUCAUCAUCAUGUUGCUACCGCGAUGGCUGCCACAUAAGAAGGAAGAAGAAUGGGAGAAACGGUCGCUGAGGGUGAUGAACUGGACGAUCCGACUGGGUUUGGUUGCUCUCCUAGUAGCCUAUGCAGCCGGCUCCAACAGGGGGUGGAAGACGUCUGUUUAUGUCGUCACUCUCAUCCUUGCUGUGCUGGGCUACUUUGCAAUCCAUAUAAUACUAUGUAUUUGUGAGCGUAGCAAACUCAAAGGAAGAUUUGCAGCGAGAAGACACAAGGCAUGUCUGCAGCGUAGCUGUAGUAUGUGA